AAAAAAGAACUUGAAGAAUGUCAAAUGUGUGUACAUAUCUUUCCACCCUCUCCUCUCCAUAUUGGAUUCAAAUGGUAAAACAAUAGUCACCAUUAGGGUUGGACAAGCCAAGAAGAAUUGGCCGAACUCGACCAACCCACAAACAGAAAAAAGGAAACGGGUCAACAAAUGUAAAGAUCGAGUAUCUAUGGGUGGACGCAGGCUUGUUCGUGUUUAUAAAUAACAACAAUUGAUACCCAAAUCCAAUCGAGGGUUUAGUAUAGAUGGUUUGGCCUGACUAAAUCAAAAGUCCAUUAACUAAGUUCAGUUGAAUCUACACUUAAGAAAACCUAGGUAUAACAGCAAAAAUUUCCUCAAAUGAAAACCCUAGUUCUUUUCCUCUACGCCACCGGUCCUCUCUCUCACUCUCAGAAAGACAUUAUGAAAGACUUGCUUUUACGGAACAAGAUAUUUUAAAAGAAUUAGUGAGGUUCUAGCUUUAGAAGAUGGAGCAAAAAGAGGGUAACAGUCAAGGAGGAGAACAAGAAGUAAUGGAGCAACAUCAUUGUUAUCCCAGACGCAUGGAAUAACAGGAAAACAAUCAGGACAUUGGUUGGGGUUUGACCAGACCACCAUUACCAAUCAAGACUCAAUUAUCUUGGUGACCCACAUUAAGAUAUUGUGCGACUUUUCCUUAUUUCAAAGGAAAAUAUUUGAGCUGAAGGAACACAAGACAUGAAUUUAGCAUCAGAAAAUCAGUUUCAAACUCGUGAAAUUAGAAUUUGAUGUUUUGCUUUAUGAUGUAAUCAGUCAAUCGCAGUUUGUUUUCAAGAUGUAAUAUUUUAUGAAUCUA
Cicer arietinum (chickpea) is the source of this 832-nucleotide non-coding RNA. NCBI's taxonomy places the organism in Eukaryota, Viridiplantae, Streptophyta, Magnoliopsida, Fabales, Fabaceae. The record is from RefSeq and is a predicted model, not a curated record.